RNAcentral lists this signal recognition particle RNA (101 nucleotides) under marine eukaryotic metagenome. RNAcentral's name for it is "Bacteroidales small SRP". It matches the Rfam family "Bacteroidales small SRP". From Rfam's summary of the family: The non-coding component of the signal recognition particle in Bacteroides The record is from RNAcentral.
UCCGGGCAAGUCUCAUACGACCAGCUCCCGCUGAAUUCCCCCAGGUCCGGAAGGAAGCAAGGGUAGGCGGUUGAGCGGUGCGAUAUGAGUCGCUUGCCCGC